Nicotiana tabacum (common tobacco) is the source of this 454-nucleotide non-coding RNA. Lineage: Eukaryota; Viridiplantae; Streptophyta; Magnoliopsida; Solanales; Solanaceae. The record is from RefSeq and is a predicted model, not a curated record.
UUUUGUGAAUUAACUGUGCAUAAUUUAUGGAUUAUUCUUAUAAUCAUGAGAUAUAUGUUUUCUUAUUGAUAUUUGAUUGAGAUUAUCUGAAUUUUUUGGGGUAAACCCUAGAAAAACGCAAAACCUGUUUUUGACCGAAUAGCCGGAAUUUUCGGAGGUCAGCGAACUUGACGGACUCCGAUUGAGCUGAAAUUUGGUGGGUCCAUCGGAAAUGCCGUGGUGAGAAAAACUCACUGCUUUAGCAGUGAAUCAUGGUAUUUUUCGGCGUUUUGAGGUCGUUUGGACUGUGUUUUGGACGGUUUUCUAUUUUCUGGAAAUUAUUUCUUAAUAAUUUUAAUUCUUUUUUAAUUCAAUGGUGUUGGGGAUGACUCCCCAUGGUCCCCAUGAUUAAAUACUAGUCAUAUAAUAGGUUUACACAUUGACUAUUAGCAAAUAAACGUGUUGUUGUAUUAAA